Molecule: ribosomal RNA, 202 nt
Filed under: uncultured bacterium
Lineage: Bacteria
Description: partial 16S ribosomal RNA
Rfam family: Bacterial small subunit ribosomal RNA
Source: RNAcentral
CGCCGAUGGAGGGGGAUAACUACUGGAAACGGUAGCUAAUACCGCAUAACGUCGCAAGACCAAAGAGGGGACCUUGGGCCUCUUGCCAUCGGAUGUGCCCAGAUGGGAUUAGCUAGUAGGUGGGGUAACGGCUCACCUAGGCGACGAUCCCUAGCUGGUCUGAGAGGAUGACCAGCCACACUGGAACUGAGACACGGUCCAG